This 2900-nucleotide ribosomal RNA is filed under the name Klebsiella quasipneumoniae. RNAcentral describes it as "23S ribosomal RNA". It matches the Rfam family "Bacterial large subunit ribosomal RNA". The record is from RNAcentral. Lineage: Bacteria; Pseudomonadati; Pseudomonadota; Gammaproteobacteria; Enterobacterales; Enterobacteriaceae.
UUAAGCGACUAAGCGUACACGGUGGAUGCCCUGGCAGUCAGAGGCGAUGAAGGACGUGCUAAUCUGCGAAAAGCGUCGGUAAGGUGAUAUGAACCGUUACAGCCGGCGAUGUCCGAAUGGGGAAACCCAGUGCAAUUCGUUGCACUAUCGUUAACUGAAUACAUAGGUUAACGAGGCGAACCGGGGGAACUGAAACAUCUAAGUACCCCGAGGAAAAGAAAUCAACCGAGAUUCCCCCAGUAGCGGCGAGCGAACGGGGAGCAGCCCAGAGUCUGAAUCAGCUUGUGUGUUAGUGGAACGGUCUGGAAAGUCCGACGGUACAGGGUGAUAGUCCCGUACACCAAAAUGCACAGGUUGUGAACUCGAAGAGUAGGGCGGGACACGUGGUAUCCUGUCUGAAUAUGGGGGGACCAUCCUCCAAGGCUAAAUACUCCUGACUGACCGAUAGUGAACCAGUACCGUGAGGGAAAGGCGAAAAGAACCCCGGCGAGGGGAGUGAAAAAGAACCUGAAACCGUGUACGUACAAGCAGUGGGAGCACCUUCGGGUGUGACUGCGUACCUUUUGUAUAAUGGGUCAGCGACUUAUAUUCUGUAGCAAGGUUAACCGUAUAGGGGAGCCGCAGGGAAACCGAGUCUUAACUGGGCGUUAAGUUGCAGGGUAUAGACCCGAAACCCGGUGAUCUAGCCAUGGGCAGGUUGAAGGUUGGGUAACACUAACUGGAGGACCGAACCGACUAAUGUUGAAAAAUUAGCGGAUGACUUGUGGCUGGGGGUGAAAGGCCAAUCAAACCGGGAGAUAGCUGGUUCUCCCCGAAAGCUAUUUAGGUAGCGCCUCGUGAAUUCAUCUUCGGGGGUAGAGCACUGUUUCGGCUAGGGGGUCAUCCCGACUUACCAACCCGAUGCAAACUACGAAUACCGAAGAAUGUUAUCACGGGAGACACACGGCGGGUGCUAACGUCCGUCGUGAAGAGGGAAACAACCCAGACCGCCAGCUAAGGUCCCAAAGUCAUGGUUAAGUGGGAAACGAUGUGGGAAGGCACAGACAGCCAGGAUGUUGGCUUAGAAGCAGCCAUCAUUUAAAGAAAGCGUAAUAGCUCACUGGUCGAGUCGGCCUGCGCGGAAGAUGUAACGGGGCUAAACCAUGCACCGAAGCUGCGGCAGCGACGCUCAGGCGUUGUUGGGUAGGGGAGCGUUCUGUAAGCCUGCGAAGGUGGCCUGUGAGGGCUGCUGGAGGUAUCAGAAGUGCGAAUGCUGACAUAAGUAACGAUAAAGCGGGUGAAAAGCCCGCUCGCCGGAAGACCAAGGGUUCCUGUCCAACGUUAAUCGGGGCAGGGUGAGUCGACCCCUAAGGCGAGGCCGAAAGGCGUAGUCGAUGGGAAACAGGUUAAUAUUCCUGUACUUGGUGUUACUGCGAAGGGGGGACGGAGAAGGCUAUGUUAGCCGGGCGACGGUUGUCCCGGUUUAAGCAUGUAGGCUGGUUAUCCAGGCAAAUCCGGAUAAUCAAGGCUGAGGUGUGAUGACGAGGCACUACGGUGCUGAAGUAACAAAUGCCCUGCUUCCAGGAAAAGCCUCUAAGCAUCAGGUAACAUCAAAUCGUACCCCAAACCGACACAGGUGGUCAGGUAGAGAAUACCAAGGCGCUUGAGAGAACUCGGGUGAAGGAACUAGGCAAAAUGGUGCCGUAACUUCGGGAGAAGGCACGCUGGUGUGUAGGUGAAGUCCCUGCGGAUGGAGCUGAGACCAGUCGAAGAUACCAGCUGGCUGCAACUGUUUAUUAAAAACACAGCACUGUGCAAACACGAAAGUGGACGUAUACGGUGUGACGCCUGCCCGGUGCCGGAAGGUUAAUUGAUGGGGUUAUCCGUAAGGAGAAGCUCUUGAUCGAAGCCCCGGUAAACGGCGGCCGUAACUAUAACGGUCCUAAGGUAGCGAAAUUCCUUGUCGGGUAAGUUCCGACCUGCACGAAUGGCGUAAUGAUGGCCAGGCUGUCUCCACCCGAGACUCAGUGAAAUUGAACUCGCUGUGAAGAUGCAGUGUACCCGCGGCAAGACGGAAAGACCCCGUGAACCUUUACUAUAGCUUGACACUGAACAUUGAGCCUUGAUGUGUAGGAUAGGUGGGAGGCUUUGAAGCGUGGACGCCAGUCUGCGUGGAGCCAACCUUGAAAUACCACCCUUUAAUGUUUGAUGUUCUAACGUGGGCCCCUGACCGGGGUUGCGGACAGUGUCUGGUGGGUAGUUUGACUGGGGCGGUCUCCUCCCAAAGCGUAACGGAGGAGCACGAAGGUUAGCUAAUCCUGGUCGGACAUCAGGAGGUUAGUGCAAUGGCAUAAGCUAGCUUGACUGCGAGCGUGACGGCGCGAGCAGGUGCGAAAGCAGGUCAUAGUGAUCCGGUGGUUCUGAAUGGAAGGGCCAUCGCUCAACGGAUAAAAGGUACUCCGGGGAUAACAGGCUGAUACCGCCCAAGAGUUCAUAUCGACGGCGGUGUUUGGCACCUCGAUGUCGGCUCAUCACAUCCUGGGGCUGAAGUAGGUCCCAAGGGUAUGGCUGUUCGCCAUUUAAAGUGGUACGCGAGCUGGGUUUAGAACGUCGUGAGACAGUUCGGUCCCUAUCUGCCGUGGGCGCUGGAGAAUUGAGGGGGGCUGCUCCUAGUACGAGAGGACCGGAGUGGACGCAUCACUGGUGUUCGGGUUGUCAUGCCAAUGGCACUGCCCGGUAGCUAAAUGCGGAAGAGAUAAGUGCUGAAAGCAUCUAAGCACGAAACUUGCCCCGAGAUGAGUUCUCCCUGAGACUUUAAGUCUCCUGAAGGAACGUUGAAGACGACGACGUUGAUAGGCCGGGUGUGUAAGCGCAGCGAUGCGUUGAGCUAACCGGUACUAAUGAACCGUGAGGCUUAACCU